UGGAUGCCGAAUAGAAGAUCUC
RNAcentral lists this non-coding RNA (22 nucleotides) under Arabidopsis thaliana (thale cress). The record is from RNAcentral. Lineage: Eukaryota; Viridiplantae; Streptophyta; Magnoliopsida; Brassicales; Brassicaceae.